RNAcentral lists this non-coding RNA (31 nucleotides) under Mus musculus (house mouse). Lineage: Eukaryota; Metazoa; Chordata; Mammalia; Rodentia; Muridae. The record is from RNAcentral.
UGGGUGUGGUGCGCUCUCCUGUUCUACGGUU